RNAcentral lists this long non-coding RNA (228 nucleotides) under Gossypium raimondii (Peruvian cotton). RNAcentral describes it as "long non-coding RNA (GRAI_LNC008171)". The record is from RNAcentral. Lineage: Eukaryota; Viridiplantae; Streptophyta; Magnoliopsida; Malvales; Malvaceae.
AAAAAUAAAUUUACUUUUAAAUAAAAAUUUAGAUGUUGUUUCCUCUCCUCCUUAAACAAAAAAAAUUAAAAAUAACAAUAAACACUACUCUAAAAAAUUAAAUAAUUAAAAAUUACCUUUAAAAAGCAAAGAAUUUAGAAAGCCUUAAACUAAACCCUAAAACACUUUGUUACCUUCUUCUUUUUUCCUUUCAAACCCUCUUCUUUCUCUUCUAUUUCUCAACCAAGC